AUGGAUGAACCACCCUCUGAUGUGCUCGCAUUCUUGCGCCAGCACCCCAGCUUGAGAUUACUGCCCAACACCCACAAGGUUUGCUGCUCCCUAACUGGCCAUGAGCUGCCCUGCCGUCUGCCGGAGCUCCAGGUCUACACCCACGGCAAGAAGUACCAGCGGCUGUCAAGUGCCUUCUCUAACUUCGAUUACGCAGCUUUCGAGCCACACAUUGUGCCCAGCACAAAGAAUCGGCACCAACUGCUCUGCAAACUCACCCUGAGGCACAUCAAUAAGUCCCCAGAACAUGUGCUGAGGCACACCCAGGGCUGGAGGUAUCAGAGAGCACUUCAUCAAUAUCAAGAGUGUCAGAAACAAGGUGUGGAGUAUGUCCCUGCCUGCCUUCUACACCAGAGGAAGAAGAGGGAGGACCAGAUGAAUGGUAAUGAGCUCCCAGGCCAGAGAACAGGUUUCUGGGAGCCAGAUUCCAGUGACGAGGGAGGCGCCUUGAGUGACGACAGCAUGACAGACCUAUAUCCACCUGAGCUGUUCACAAAGAGAGAACUAGGCAAGCCUGAGAACGGUGACACUCCUGAAGACUUUCUGACAGACCAACAGGAUGAGAAGCUGGAGUAUUCAGAAGAGAAGAGCACUAGAGAGAGAGGAGAGGCCAGAGUGGGCCACAAGAGGGGCUGUAACCUGAGGAAGAAACAGCUCACCUCCUUGACCAAGAAGUUCAAGAGCCAUCACCACAAGCCCAAGAACUUCCUUUCCUUUAAGUAG
RNA transcript from Mus pahari (shrew mouse), 762 nucleotides. It is a transcript of the gene named surfeit locus protein 2 pseudogene, with no coding region annotated. The record is from RefSeq and is a predicted model, not a curated record. Lineage: Eukaryota; Metazoa; Chordata; Mammalia; Rodentia; Muridae. The transcript has a single exon.